UUUGGACAAAUUGCCAUGGGAGGAGAGCUAUAGUUGCUAUAAUUAGUAAUCUUUGGGGAGCCCCAAUUGCACAUUUGUAUUGUGUCAGAAACAUUUAAUUGAAUGAAAUAGUUAAUUUCUAAUUAAAAAAAUAAUAUAACCUUGAGAGUCAAUGAUGACGUUAAUGAGAUCCAAAUAACACAAAAGUGGCAUAUAUUAUCUAAACAUGUAUCUGCUACAGUCUGAGAUUCAGAACCCUAAAAUAUCAUAAUAUUUGACCUUUAAACAGUUGAUUUCUCCCGCUUUUUGAUUUUUUUAGGUUUCAUACUUAUACCAUCUUAGAAUUUAUGAUGUUGUUCAGGAAGUUGUACAUAAAGAAGAACAUAAUCACAAGCAACAAAAUCAAAGAUGAAUUCCUUUGCCACGUCAGUUUCCAAUAGAGGAAGACUUUUGGAGGUGCUACAACCAGCUAUGGAAAUAUUCAACAUGUUCAUAAAGGGGAGAAACCUGUGUUCUUUUGUAACCACAUACUAUUUGGUGAAUGGUGCUUUAAAAAUAACAUAUUCAUAUGGGGUAUUUAUUUUUAUUUUUUUAAAAAUAUUCAUCACGAAGGUUAUGGAUUCUUGAUUAGUAUAUGCAACCAGGAGAGCUUGAAGUCAAAAUCUAUUGUUAUUAAAUCAUUUCUUCUUGCUAGGUAGGUUAGGAAGAUGUGGUAUAUAGAUGGUAUAAAUACAGGGAUUAAUAAGACUCUCAUUUGAGUUAACAUCUCUAAACUUUUGCAUUUUUCUUUACUUCUUUAGGUAUACACACACACACACACACAUAAAUACACACAUAUACAUACAUGCAUAUACAUACGUGCAUAUGCAUAUGUACACACAUACAUAUGUGUGUAUACAUAGAUAUGCACAUAUUUUCUCUAUUGAAGUAAGGAUAUUAUCUGUUUGCAGAAAUAAUCCUAUUAUUUAUUUUACACAGUUAUGUGGAUCUAAGUAAUGGUCACACAUGUUAAAGUGUUAAAUAUUCUUUUCAAAAUUUAGUAUUUACUGAAAUACUUUGUAUAGCCUCAUUUUUGAUAGACAGUUCUGUUUUUUAUUUUCAGUCUUAUAAAAAUGUACAUAAAGGAUGGUUCAAGUUCAAGUGGGACACUCAUUUCACAAAGUGGGACUGAUUAUAAUGUUCUAUGACAUGUUAGUCAACAAGUAUUUAUUAAAUUGUUUACCAUGUGCCAAACACUGUGUUAAUUGCUUGGUUACAAAGAAAGGCAAAAUCUGGUCUCUUUAAUAGUUUUUGAAGAUUCAUUCUGUAGCAAAAGCUAAUUUCUCUCUCUCUCUAUCUCCCUCCCUCGGUCUCUCCUCUCUCUCUGUGUCUGUCUGUCUGUCUCUCUCUCCCCUUGCUCUGAAUAUCUUAUUUAUCUCUGUCUUUCUGUAUCUUUUCUGUCUCUAUCUCUUCUCUGUCUCUUCUUUACACUUUUAUUCUCUUAUGCCUUCUUUUUAUGUAUGUUUAACCAAAUUAUUUUUUAUAUUUAUGAUUAAAAGUUAGUUUUAAAAAACUGAAGAAUGUAGUAUUCAAUUUCUAUAUUGACAAAUAAAUGUAAAUAGCACUUUAAGUUCUACCUCUUA
Molecule: long non-coding RNA, 1601 nt
Filed under: Phascolarctos cinereus (koala)
Lineage: Eukaryota; Metazoa; Chordata; Mammalia; Diprotodontia; Phascolarctidae
Description: lncRNA (ENSPCIG00000037028.1)
Source: RNAcentral